Ochotona curzoniae (black-lipped pika) is the source of this 586-nucleotide long non-coding RNA. RefSeq lists it as uncharacterized. The transcript has 3 exons. Lineage: Eukaryota; Metazoa; Chordata; Mammalia; Lagomorpha; Ochotonidae. The record is from RefSeq and is a predicted model, not a curated record.
UAACAAGCUGUAGUACUUGUGUUUCUGAUGUCUCGUUAUGUCCAAAUGGAUAACCAUAAGCAAUGACCUAUAGCUGCCAUCUCAAGAGGAAAUCGGAUGCUGGAUUACCUUGCCAAUGGCAAAGCUAUGUCCCAUGGAAAACAUUUUUGCGUAACGUAAAUUGUAAUGCUAAAUUUAACGGGUGAAGGUUAAAAACUGAUGAAGAUGAUGAUACGGUGAGAGUUCAUACACAGGGAACUGGGAGCCUGCUGGAUGGUGAGGAAAGCAACAAAAGAUGACUCAGGUACUUGGAUGACACUUGUUCCUGUGAGCAGCUGGGAAGGAGCUCCUGGCUCCUGGCUUUGGUGUGGCUCGGACCCGACCUGGCUGUUUAAGGCAUAUGCAGAGGGAGCUGGCAGAUGGAAGAUUCUCCUCCUUUCUCCCUGUCUUUGUCAUUUCCCCCAGCUGUACCUCCCACCAUUCGUGUGUGUGUGUGUGUGUGUGUGUGAGACUCUGCCUUCCAAAUAAACAGAUAUUAAAAGGAGAAACUGGUGAUAUUCCAGAAGUUUCUAUUUAUUAUAAAUCAUGUAUAUAAUGGAAUAAAGAA